This 89-nucleotide unclassified non-coding RNA is filed under the name Pseudomonas sp. bs2935. Lineage: Bacteria; Pseudomonadati; Pseudomonadota; Gammaproteobacteria; Pseudomonadales; Pseudomonadaceae. The record is from RNAcentral.
AGUGAGAGCGGGCUUGCUCGCGAAUGCGCUGUGUCAGUCAGUACAUCUGUGACUGAACCACCGUAUUCGCGAGCAAGCCCGCUCCCACA